RNAcentral lists this ribosomal RNA (980 nucleotides) under Staphylococcus haemolyticus. RNAcentral's name for it is "bacterial SSU rRNA". It matches the Rfam family "Bacterial small subunit ribosomal RNA", at positions 50 to 1013 of the family's 1533-position model. The record is from RNAcentral. Lineage: Bacteria; Bacillati; Bacillota; Bacilli; Caryophanales; Staphylococcaceae.
AAUACAUGCAGUCGAGCGAACAGACAAGGAGCUUGCUCCUUUGACGUUAGCGGCGGACGGGUGAGUAACACGUGGGUAACCUACCUAUAAGACUGGGAUAACUUCGGGAAACCGGAGCUAAUACCGGAUAAUAUUUCGAACCGCAUGGUUCGAUAGUGAAAGAUGGUUUUGCUAUCACUUAUAGAUGGACCCGCGCCGUAUUAGCUAGUUGGUAAGGUAACGGCUUACCAAGGCGACGAUACGUAGCCGACCUGAGAGGGUGAUCGGCCACACUGGAACUGAGACACGGUCCAGACUCCUACGGGAGGCAGCAGUAGGGAAUCUUCCGCAAUGGGCGAAAGCCUGACGGAGCAACGCCGCGUGAGUGAUGAAGGUCUUCGGAUCGUAAAACUCUGUUAUUAGGGAAGAACAUACGUGUAAGUAACUAUGCACGUCUUGACGGUACCUAAUCAGAAAGCCACGGCUAACUACGUGCCAGCAGCCGCGGUAAUACGUAGGUGGCAAGCGUUAUCCGGAAUUAUUGGGCGUAAAGCGCGCGUAGGCGGUUUUUUAAGUCUGAUGUGAAAGCCCACGGCUCAACCGUGGAGGGUCAUUGGAAACUGGAAAACUUGAGUGCAGAAGAGGAAAGUGGAAUUCCAUGUGUAGCGGUGAAAUGCGCAGAGAUAUGGAGGAACACCAGUGGCGAAGGCGACUUUCUGGUCUGUAACUGACGCUGAUGUGCGAAAGCGUGGGGAUCAAACAGGAUUAGAUACCCUGGUAGUCCACGCCGUAAACGAUGAGUGCUAAGUGUUACGGGGUUUCCGCCCCUUAGUGCUGCAGCUAACGCAUUAAGCACUCCGCCUGGGGGAGUACGACCGCAAGGUUGAAACUCAAAGGAAUUGACGGGGGACCCGCACAAAUCGGUGGGACCAUGUGGGUUUAAAUUCUAAACCAACGCGGAAAAAACCUUUACCCAAAUCUUUGACAUUCCUUUUGGACAA